UGGGGAAUCUUCCGCAAUGGACGAAAGUCUGACGGAGCAACGCCGCGUGAGUGAAGACGGCCUUCGGGUUGUAAAGCUCUGUGAUCCGGGACGAAAGAGCCUGAGGUGAAUAGCCUAAGGAAGUGACGGUACCGGAAAAGCAAGCCACGGCUAACUACGUGCCAGCAGCCGCGGUAAUACGUAGGUGGCAAGCGUUGUCCGGAAUUAUUGGGCGUAAAGCGCGCGCAGGCGGCUUCCUAAGUCCAUCUUAAAAGUGCGGGGCUUAACCCCGUGAUAGGAUGGAAACUGGGAAGCUGGAGUAUCGGAGAGGAAAGUGGAAUUCCUAGUGUAGCGGUGAAAUGCGUAGAGAUUAGGAAGAACACCGGUGGCGAAGGCGACUUUCUGGACGAAAACUGACGCUGAGGCGCGAAAGCGUGGGGAGCAAACAGG
This 429-nucleotide ribosomal RNA is filed under the name Fusobacteriota bacterium. RNAcentral describes it as "Fusobacteria bacterium partial 16S ribosomal RNA". It matches the Rfam family "Bacterial small subunit ribosomal RNA", at positions 355 to 776 of the family's 1533-position model. The record is from RNAcentral. Lineage: Bacteria; Fusobacteriati; Fusobacteriota.